ACGAACGCUGGCGGCGUGCCUAAUACAUGCAAGUCGAACGAACUUUCCCCUUCGGGGGAAGGUUAGUGGCGGACGGGUGAGUAACACGUAGGCAACCUGCCCUUAAGAUCGGGAUAACAUUCGGAAACGAAUGCUAAGACCGGAUAAACAAUUUGCUCGCAUGGGUGGAUUGGGAAACACGGUGCAAGCUGUGGCUUGGGGAUGGGCCUGCGGCGCAUUAGCUAGUUGGUGGGGUAACGGCUCACCAAGGCGACGAUGCGUAGCCG
Molecule: ribosomal RNA, 266 nt
Filed under: Cohnella sp. ISOM324_OTU3636
Lineage: Bacteria; Bacillati; Bacillota; Bacilli; Caryophanales; Paenibacillaceae
Description: partial 16S ribosomal RNA
Rfam family: Bacterial small subunit ribosomal RNA
Source: RNAcentral